CGCAGCCGCGGUAAUUCCAGCUCCAAUAGCGUAUAUUAAAGUUGUUGCGGUUAAAGAGCUCGUAGUUGAACUUCGGGAUCAAGGAAUCGGUCAUGCCUUGGUAUGUACUGGUUUUAUUGGUUCUCACCUUCUAAAGAACCAUAAUGUCAUUCAUUUGAUGUUAUGGGGAAUUAGGACUGUUACCUUGAAAAAUUAGAGUGUUUAAAGCAGGCUUACGCUUGAAUACAUUAGCAUGGAAUAACGGAAUAGGACGUUUGAUUCUAUUUUGUUGGUUUCUAGGAUCGACGUAAUGAUUAAUAGGGAUAGUUGGGGGCAUUAGUAUUCAAUUGUCAGAGGUGAAAUUCUUGGAUUUAUUGAAGACUAACUACUGCGAAAGCAUUUGCCAAGGAUGUUUUCAUUAAUCAAGAACGAAAGUUAGGGGAUCGAAGACGAUCAGAUACCGUCGUAGUCUUAACCAUAAACUAUGCCGACUAGGGAUCGGAUGAUGUUAAUUUUUUAAUG
This 501-nucleotide ribosomal RNA is filed under the name uncultured Glomus. Its description in RNAcentral is "SSU rRNA". It matches the Rfam family "Eukaryotic small subunit ribosomal RNA", at positions 569 to 1076 of the family's 1831-position model. The record is from RNAcentral. Lineage: Eukaryota; Fungi; Glomeromycota; Glomeromycetes; Glomerales; Glomeraceae.